Molecule: ribosomal RNA, 207 nt
Filed under: uncultured bacterium
Lineage: Bacteria
Description: partial 16S ribosomal RNA
Rfam family: Bacterial small subunit ribosomal RNA
Source: RNAcentral
AGCGUAGGCGGACAUUUAAGUCAGAGGUGAAAUCCUGGAGCUUAACUUCGGAACUGCCUUUGAUACUGGGUGUCUUGAGUGUGAGAGAGGUAUGUGGAACUCCGAGUGUAGAGGUGAAAUUCGUAGAUAUUCGGAAGAACACCAGUGGCGAAGGCGACAUACUGGCUCAUUACUGACGCUGAGGCUCGAAAGCGUGGGGAGCAAACA